RNAcentral lists this ribosomal RNA (252 nucleotides) under uncultured bacterium. RNAcentral describes it as "partial 16S ribosomal RNA". It matches the Rfam family "Bacterial small subunit ribosomal RNA", at positions 525 to 776 of the family's 1533-position model. The record is from RNAcentral.
ACGUAGGGCGCAAGCGUUGUCCGGAAUUAUUGGGCGUAAAGAGCUCGUAGGCGGUCUGUUACGUCUGCUGUGAAAACCCGGGGCUUAACCCUGGGCUUGCAGUGGAUACGGGCAGACUAGAGGCAGGUAGGGGAGAAUGGAAUUCCCGGUGUAGCGGUGAAAUGCGUAGAUAUCUGGAGGAACACCGGUGGCGAAGGCGGCAUCCUGGACCAAUUCUGACGCUGAGGAGCGAAAGCCAGGGGAGCAAACGGG